Carassius gibelio (silver crucian carp) is the source of this 4940-nucleotide long non-coding RNA. RefSeq lists it as uncharacterized. The transcript has 3 exons. The record is from RefSeq and is a predicted model, not a curated record. Lineage: Eukaryota; Metazoa; Chordata; Actinopteri; Cypriniformes; Cyprinidae.
UCGUCGCAGCGUAAAAUAUGUCACUUCCUGUUGCCAAUAGGUGGCGCUAUGACUAUAACUGAAUAUGGGCAUGUCAAUCUGUUCAGCUUCGGAGUCUCAUCAAACAUGUGAAGUUUGGGGCAGAUUGGUCAUUGUAUGUCUGAGUUAUAGCAACUUCAUUUUUCAUGGCGAAUCAUCGAAAUUCGCCAGGCCGCCACGGACACGCCCUUCAACGAAAACUCAAGAUCUUCGCAAUUUAACAUCGCAAAGGACUUUAGAUUAGGCAUACCAAAUUUGGUGUUGAUUUGAAGAACUCUCUAGGAGGAGUUCGUUAAAAUACAACACAUGGAAAUGACCAAAAUUACACAAAAAAUGCUCAUAAUAUUAAAAAUAACCGACUUCCUGUUGGGUUUAGAAUUUCGCUCCAAGAGUCUUUUUUGUAGGUAUUGGUGUGUUACAUAUGUGUGCCAAUUUUCGUGCAUGUACGUGAAACAUAGCUGGAAGGCUGUUGAUUUUCUUGGUAUAGGUGGCGCUGUCGAGCCAUUUUGCCACACCCUCUUCUGAAUCCUAUAUCAGACGAAAAUUUUCACCAGGUUUGACGCGUGUGCAAAGUUUCAUGACUUUUUGAGCAUGUUAAAGCCCUCAAAAAUGUGAUUCAUUCGGGAGAAGAAGAAGAAGAAGAAGAAGAAGAAUAAUAAAUAUAGCUGCAAGCAGCGAUGGCGGGCUCAAGCCACCAGUGCCAUCGCCACCCCGGUGGCAUCAGGUAAACUGUGCCCAGUGGGCACAUGCAUUCACAAUAUCCCUCUGGCAGUGAGGUUUUAAAGGAUAUGGCAGUUAAAGGGUUAAUCCGAAUCAUCUAGACUUUAAAAUCACAUUCACAGAACAAUAUAUAUGUAUAACUUUAGUAACACUUUACAAUAAGAUUCCAUUCAUAAACAUUAUGUUAACAUGAACAAUAUUUAUAUAGCAUUCAUUCACGUCAGUUAAUAUUCCAAACUUAAACAUUAAAACAUUGUUUUAUUGUGAUUUUUUUCCAAGCACAUUUUACCAAUUCCUAACCAUAUAAAUCUUAAUAACUACCAUUAUUUUUUAUUUAAUCAUUUAUGAGUGCUAUACAAUAGUCCAGGAAAGCUGGAAGAGAAAAACUCCUUAUAUUCAUGUGUGCAGAAUUAUUAGGCAUGUUUUCUUUUACAGAUGAAAUGCGCUAAAAUAGACUUUUAACUCAAACUGUAAGGUCGAAAAUUAUGAAAUACCCAUGAGAAAUAUCAAACACAAAUGCAAUACAGAAAUGGAUAAGUUAAGACUUGACCAUUGUACAAAAAAUACUGACUGGGUCAUGAGGUCAGAAAAGAAGAAGAAAAAAGCAGGUCAAGAAGAACUGACAAAAAGAAUUGCAAAAUAAUUAGUAAUUAAUGUGAAGAUUAAUUUUUAGUCAAUUCUGCAAGACAGACUUUUCAGGAAAGGAGGUGGAAUAAAAAUGAGCUCCUAAAUCUUAAUCCUGGAUUCUGGAAGAUAUAUUCCUCAAACCAUCGAACAAGAGGAGGUGGUGCUGGUCCUUCACGAGUCACUCUAAUCUGUUCAUAAAGCCUAUAUAUAAAGACUUAAUAUAUAGUAUUUCACAAUACUUCAUGGUAUUCUAAUUAAAUCAUUUUUUGGAAUCUUAAGUCUCUCAGAGCCUGACACCGAGUAAUUCUGGAGACUCCAGGAAAGUGGCAGUUCUGUAAAAUGUUGGCGCUGGAGACUAAAUGCACCCUGAUAGUUUCACACCUAAUUCACUUAACACACACACACACACAUUACCCACAGUGACAGUGGGACUGAGUGACAUCAGAUGUAUGAUAGUUUUUUUUUAAUUUCUAUCAUCCAUACAGUGUUGUAUAGUCAUGAAACUAUGGUCAUGAGACCAGUCAUUCUGAGGAAAUAUGCCUCAGAAUGACUGGUCUUCUAUGUGUACAUUUUUUUUUUUUAAGUGUUUAGAAGCUGCACUUUAAAAAAAUAAAAAGACAUUUACUGGUUCCUUUUUUACUAUUAUUUCAAAAAAUCAUCACGGCAAAACCAUUCAAGCUAUCCAAAAUUCAUUCACACCAGGGGCGAUUCUAAGAUUUUGAUUUUAGGGGGGCUCAGCCCCCAAUAAGGGUAUGAUUAAAAAAUAUUAUUUGACUAUUAGGGUAGGGUUGUAUACUACUAACCUUAUUGCAAUCCACUAUUCCAUUGUAUUCCCUGUAUUUCAUAUAUGGGAGUAGGAGUACUGACUGAGCCAUAUAUAACACUGUAAAAAAAACUAAUACAGUUUUUUAGAUGUGACCAGUCACUGGAAAAUUUUGAAUUGGGAAUGUAGAUUUAUUUUAUUUUUUUACAAUAAAGACUAACUGAUUCAGUAUUAGGACAUUCAUGUUUAUCCUUUGAUGAUACCACUGCUUUUUCUUAUGAAAUGUACGUGGAAAUCGGCAGAAUAUUAAAACAACAUAAGGGUUCAAUGACUGCAAUGAAUCUUGGGAACACAGUGGUAUUGUGUGUGUGUGUGUGUGAGGCUGUCUGUUCUAUUCUCACCUGACUGUUGCUCAUUUGCAGACCUACUCCUGCACAACAAAAAAAUGUUGUAUAUCCAUCUACAAUGAAAUAUAAAUUAUUAUAUUUUUUUAUUAUUAUUAUUAUUAUUAUUAUACAUUUUUAGCUUUUUAGCCUUUAUAAUCAACAAUACGGUUGGUUAUACAUCAAGUCAGCCCCUGAAAAUGUAUUUCAUUUCAAAUCAUUUAACUAACCAGCUAAUAUUCAUUAAGAAUAUAGACAAAACAUGUAUUAAUGUAAUUGUCUAUUGGCAAUAUGUUUAAUCUGUUCUAUAUUUAUUUCAAUUUAUUAAAAAUAACACAAUUAUCAAUUUGCCACUUCUAUAACUCAAUUACUUAAAAAAAAAAAAAAAUCACAGAUCCCUUUACUCUUACUCUAAUAUAUGUAUCAUGAUACACUAAUGAUUCAUUAUUACUUAAUACAAAAUUAUAUUUAAUAAUAGAAAACAAAAUAUCUCCACAUGAUGUUUCUCUCUCUGUGCCAUUUAGUGCUUUCAGACAAUGAUGUGUGUCGUUAAUAAUUUAUUUUGCAUGGCUGCAUAAUGUAAUGCCGAAAUACACAAUAAUAUGUUUUCAAUUUUAAAAAGUAAAUUAAAAUAAAUCAUGAUCGUUUUCUAAAGUAUGUUUUCAUGGGUGUUAAUCGCUUCAUUUUUGUUGGAAGAAAAAACAACUGUCACACUGUGAUAAAGGCUGAAGGUGAACGCAGCGAAGACGUACUGGUAUUGGAUGCGAGAACACACACACGCACACACACACACACGCACGCACACACACACCUUGUACUCUCUGAUGUUCGCUCUGCUCGGCGCCACUGUGGAUUGAAAAACGCGCUGAAUCCAUGCAGACUCAGAUCAGGGGAGGAGCCGGAACUUGAUGCAGCUUGCCACCGUUUCAAAUGAGUUUUUAAAGGGGACUGAAGCGAUCACUAAUUAAUUAAUCAAAUAAUUUUUUAGGGGGGCUGGGCAUAAGUUUAGGGGGGCUGAAGCCCCCCUAAAAAGGGCCUAGCGACGCCCCUGAUUCACACCUAUUCUGUAAGAUUAAUUCUUUAAACAGUGGUAAAAGAGGAUGUGGUGCUGAACCUUCAAGAGUCACUCAAAACGUUAUCUGUCCAUAAAGCCUAUAAAGAAUUAUUCUUAAUAUACAGUUCAAAAUACUUCAGCUUGUUAUUCUAAUUAAGUGAGGGUCAUUUUAUCAGUAAAAUAUAUACAAUUCAUUUUUUUUGAAAGAUUUCUAUGAAUGAUUUAAAUCAUACUCGUUUCUACAAUAAUUAUUUAAAAGUAAUCCUAUAGCUCCCUCUGGUGGCCAUUAUAGGUACUAAGAAUUGCAAGCUUGAUUUAUAAGUUAUGAUAGUUUAAAUUUUAUGCUGGCUCUUGAAAGUGAUAAAGCUAUGAAACUUACUGUGCUUCCUUCAAAUGAUGACUUCUACGUAUAUAAAAAAUUAUGAAUAGUUGGAAUUAAACAUUUCAAAGAUAUAGUAAAAUAACUAUUGUAUUUUUUUAUGUUACUUUAAUAAAUCGCUAUGGCCACACCAUUUAAGGUAUCCUAAACCCAUUCGCAAUUUAACAUCUUCAGUAUAUGGCUUCAUGUUAAAACAGUUUGGUGUGAACUACUUGUGUCUUCUUGGAGGAGAAUUAAUUCAUUUACAGGCUGAGUUUAUCAUAAAUCCACAAUAACAUUUCUGAGUUCUGUAUCAAUCUGUGUUGUUGUUUGUUUAUUUUUAUUUUAUUUAUUUUUCAUAGGAAGAUAACUGACACUUUACUCUCCUUUUUAAUAAAUGUGCUUAUAAACCAAGAACAAGCUAUUUAUAGCUGUAUUUAUAAACUGCUUACUACUGACUAUUAAUAUUGGGACAAGGCUUUAUAAAGAAUGAACUGACUAUUUACUAAUGAGUGCAGUUAUUAUAAAGUGUUAUCAAUGCAUUUGCUAAUGUUUACAAAUUAGACAUUAUUUUACAGUGUUAUCAAAUCCCUUAAAUGAUUUGUAAGUGUUUUGUAAUGAUUUUAUUGACCUACAAGCAUUUGUGAAAGUUCUGCUUGCAUUACAGCUUAGUCUUGAUCUGUGAGCUGAACAGAUUUACUGUUACAUCCAUGAGAUUAUGUAAAUUCAAAUAAAUAUCAUGUCACAGGAUGUCAGAGGUCAGUAUCAAAUUAAUUUGAAAUUAUUAUUUGCAGCACAAAUAAGGUUUUUUAGGAUUUUUAAAAAUCCCUAAAACUGUCAGAAAAGGAUAAGGCCUAAGAUUUCUAUGUGAGUGGCUAAAUUUGUUUGUUUUUAUAACUAUAAUGCAUAAACUAUGAAACUAUACAAAAUGUAUAAAAAAAGUACAAGUUAUUCUUUUCCAAUGUUUUUUAUUUAUUUACAAUUUUUUUUUUUUUUUUUUUUUUUUUGGGAUUUACA